GAUGAACGCUGGCGGCGUGCCUAAUACAUGCAAGUCGAGCGAACAGAUGAGGAGCUUGCUCCUCUGACGUUAGCGGCGGACGGGUGAGUAACACGUGGAUAACCUACCUAUAAGGCUGGGAUAACUUCGGGAAACCGGAGCUAAUACCGGAUAAUAUAUUGAACCGCAUGGUUCAAUAGUGAAAGACGGUUUUGCUGUCACUUUAGAUGGAUCCGCGCCGCAUUAGCUAGUUGGUAAGGUAACGGCUUACCAAGGCAACGAUGCGUAGCCGACCUGAGAGGGUGAUCGGCCACACUGGAACUGAGACACGGUCCAGACUCCUACGGGAGGCAGCAGUAGGGAAUCUUCCGCAAUGGGCGAAAGCCUGACGGAGCAACGCCGCGUGAGUGAUGAAGGUCUUCGGAUCGUAAAACUCUGUUAUUAGGGAAGAACAAAUGUGUAAGUAACUAUGCACGUCUUGACGGUACCUAAUCAGAAAGCCACGGCUAACUACGUG
This 496-nucleotide ribosomal RNA is filed under the name uncultured bacterium. Its description in RNAcentral is "partial 16S ribosomal RNA". It matches the Rfam family "Bacterial small subunit ribosomal RNA", at positions 28 to 507 of the family's 1533-position model. The record is from RNAcentral.